RNAcentral lists this ribosomal RNA (1348 nucleotides) under uncultured marine diplonemid. RNAcentral describes it as "SSU rRNA". It matches the Rfam family "Eukaryotic small subunit ribosomal RNA", at positions 1 to 1147 of the family's 1831-position model. The record is from RNAcentral. Lineage: Eukaryota; Euglenozoa; Diplonemea.
ACCUGGUUGAUCCUGCCAGUAGUCAUAUGCUUGUUUCAAGGACUAAGCCAUGCAAGUCUCAGAGUAAAUGGAUCACAGUAGGUCUGCAAACAGCUCAUUAAAUCAGCUUUAAUCUACGCCGAGAAACUGCCUUUCGGCAGACUAUUGGAUAACUUUGGUAACCCCAAAGCUAAUACAUGUCAGCAAAACCCGCACAGGUUCCACCUCGGGGCCUUGGUUCCGGGGCUGUGUUGGGUGUAAUUGACUGAAAUAAAAACCAACGCUAGCAAUAGCAGCGGUGAUUAGAUGACUCAAGUCAAUCGAGUAGUAGCGCAUACUUCGGUGGCGCUUGUCGGCAUGAGAAUCUGCCCUAUCAGCUUUUGACGGUAGUGUAGUGGACUACCGUGGCUGUAACGGGUAACGGGGAAUUAGGGUUCGAUUCCGGAGAGGGAGCCUGAGAAACGGCUACCACAACUAAGGUUGGCAGCAGGCGCGCAAAUUGCCCAAUAGCAACACAUCGCUGAGGCAGCGAAGAGAAAUAGCAACUUCAUGCGGCCCUGCCGUGUGAAGAUUGCCAUGGACGAUAUCUAAACCUGUCGGUGAGUAUCAAUUGGUGGACAAGUCUGGUGCCAGCACCCGCGGUAAUUCCAGCACCAAUAGCGUAUAUUAAUGCUGCUGCUGUUGAAAAGCUCGUAGUUGGAUCAAGAGUUCGACAGUGCACGGUGGCCCUGUUUGCCAUGGUGGUUCCGAUCACCGUGGCGGCAGCGGAUCAACCCCGUGCGCCAAACUGUCGACUCUAACAGACCGAAACGGUUCCCUGCGAGUAGACUCCUUCAUUGGGGUUGAAAGCGAUUACGCAUCAACCAUAUGCAUACGGGACGUCGGUCAAAGUUACUGUGAACAAACCAGCGUGUCCAAAACAGGCUUUCGCCUGAAUGUUCGAGCAUGGAAUAACAAAGGAUCGAUUAUCUCGGUUCUUUUUGUUGGUUUUUAACCCGAGAAGGAGUAAUUCAGGCCACGGUGUCUGAGUUGGGUUCCCCUUCACCUCGGAUGAGGCCCCAAUUAGGCAGUGUCCUUACGGGAUCAAUAGGGACUGACGGGGUCGUACGUACUUCUACGUCAGAGGUGAAAUUAUUAGAUCGUAGGAAGACGAACUUCUGCGAAAGCAUUCGACAAGAAUGUCUUCAUUAAUCAAGAACGAGAGUGUGGGGAUCGAAGAUGAUCAGAUACCGUCGUAGUCCACUACUGUAAACAAUGCCGUCUCAGGAUUGAGAAGUGAACAGAAUGACUUUCACAACACUAACCCCUGAAACGAGAAAUCAAAGAUUAUGGGUUCAGGGGGGAGUACAUUCGCAAGGCUGAAACUUAA